RNAcentral lists this small RNA (29 nucleotides) under Bombyx mori (domestic silkworm). RNAcentral's name for it is "ovarian small RNA-32306". Lineage: Eukaryota; Metazoa; Arthropoda; Insecta; Lepidoptera; Bombycidae. The record is from RNAcentral.
UGAUAAAACAGAAUUACAGGCCGCGGCGC